Molecule: ribosomal RNA, 497 nt
Filed under: uncultured bacterium
Lineage: Bacteria
Description: partial 16S ribosomal RNA
Rfam family: Bacterial small subunit ribosomal RNA
Source: RNAcentral
GAUGAACGCUGGCGGCGUGCCUAAUACAUGCCAGUCGAGCGAACAGACGAGGAGCUUGCUCCUCUGACGUUAGCGGCGGACGGGUGAGUAACACGUGGAUAACCUACCUAUAAGACUGGGAUAACUUCGGGAAACCGGAGCUAAUACCGGAUAAUAUAUUGAACCGCAUGGUUCAAUAGUGAAAGACGGUUUUGCUGUCACUUAUAGAUGGAUCCGCGCCGCAUUAGCUAGUUGGUAAGGUAACGGCUUACCAAGGCAACGAUGCGUAGCCGACCUGAGAGGGUGAUCGGCCACAUGGGAACUGAGACACGGUCCAGACUCCUACGGGAGGCAGCAGUAGGGAAUCUUCCGCAAUGGGCGAAAGCCUGACGGAGCAACGCCGCGUGAGUGAUGAAGGUCUUCGGAUCGUAAAACUCUGUUAUUAGGGAAGAACAAAUGUGUAAGUAACUAUGCACGUCUUGACGGUACCUAAUCAGAAAGCCACGGCUAACUACGUG